RNAcentral lists this ribosomal RNA (408 nucleotides) under uncultured bacterium. RNAcentral describes it as "bacterial SSU rRNA". It matches the Rfam family "Bacterial small subunit ribosomal RNA", at positions 29 to 437 of the family's 1533-position model. The record is from RNAcentral.
AUUGAACGCUGGCGGCGUGCCUAACACAUGCAAGUCGAGCGGUAACAGGUGUAGCAAUACAUGCUGACGAGCGGCGGACGGGUGAGUAACGCUUGGGAAUCUGCCUGAUAGUGGGGACGAACCCGGGAAACGUCGGGCUAAUACCGCAUACGCACUACGGUGGAAAGCCGGGACCGCAAGGCCUGGCGCUAUCAGAUGAGCCCAAGUCGGAUUAGCUAGUUGGAGGGUAACGGGCCUACCAAGGCGACGAUCCGUAACUGGUCUGAGAGGACGACCAGUCACACCGGAACUGAGACACGGUCCGGACUCCUACGGGAGGCAGCAGUGGGGAAUAUUGGACAAUGGGCGAAAGCCUGAUCCAGCGACGCCGCGUGGGUGAAGAAGGCCUGCGGGUUGUAAAGCCCUUUC